AUGCGCCGCCGUCGUUUCCAUGCGCUGAGGACCCCCGUGCCGCCUCUUGAUGUCCAUGGCCCUCCCCGCGCUCGUCCACACCGUCCCUGCCAACCAGCUCGAGCUGCGGGGUCUCCAUCGCCGGAUCGGGCACCUCCCUCCGCUUCGGCCGUCGCCGUCUCGCCAUCACCAUCGCCUCUCCGGUCCACCCCAACCCUUCCCGAGCGCGCCAAUGGUCUCGCGACGUUAGAGCCCAGGAGCCAGACGCCACCAUCGACGACGACUACUACUACUCGGGAGGUGCCUACUACAACGUGCAGCCCAUUGACAACGACCAAGAGUAGUUUGGAGGAUCCCAGGCAGGAGGCCUGCGCCUCUUUCGAUCUGUAUCCCAGUUUGUGCUAUUCUUCUUAA
This 393-nucleotide ribosomal RNA is filed under the name Triticum aestivum (bread wheat). RNAcentral's name for it is "partial small subunit ribosomal RNA". Lineage: Eukaryota; Viridiplantae; Streptophyta; Magnoliopsida; Poales; Poaceae. The record is from RNAcentral.